Molecule: ribosomal RNA, 497 nt
Filed under: uncultured bacterium
Lineage: Bacteria
Description: partial 16S ribosomal RNA
Rfam family: Bacterial small subunit ribosomal RNA
Source: RNAcentral
AGUGAACGCUGGCGGCGUGCCUAAUACAUGCAAGUCGAGCGACCGCACAGUAAGCUUGCUCCCUUGCUGUUAGCGACGGACGGGCGGGUGACACGUACAUCACCAUCCUAUAUUUCUUGGGUAACAUCGGGGGACCGGUGCUACUACCACCUCAUACUUUGUACCGCAUGGAUCAAAAGUGCAUCACGGUUUUCCCGUCUCAUUUAGACGAUUCCGCGCUGCAUUAGCUAGUUGGUAAGGUAACGGCUUACCAAGGCAACGAUGCAUAGCCGACCUGAGAGGGUGAUCGGCCACACUGGAACUGAGACACGGUCCAGACUCCUACGGGAGGCAGCAGUAGGGAAUCUUCCGCAAUGGGCGAAAGCCUGACGGAGCAACGCCGCGUGAGUGAUGAAGGUCUUCGGAUCGUAAAACUCUGUUAUUAGGGAAGAACAUAUGUGUAAGUAACUGUGCACAUCUUGACGGUACCUAAUCAGAAAGCCACGGCUAACUACGUG